AACGGUAGAGUAGCAAUACUCGAGAGUGGCGAACGGGUGAGUAAUAUAUCGGAACGUGCCCAGUCGUGGGGGAUAACGUAUAGAAAUUUACGCUAAUACCGCAUACGAUCUAAGGAUGAAAGCGGGGGAUUCGCAAGAACCUCGCGCGAUUGGAGCGGCUGAUAUCAGAUUAGGUUGUUGGUGAGGUAAAAGCUCACCAAACCGACGAUCUGUACCUGGU
Molecule: ribosomal RNA, 220 nt
Filed under: Polaromonas sp.
Lineage: Bacteria; Pseudomonadati; Pseudomonadota; Betaproteobacteria; Burkholderiales; Comamonadaceae
Description: partial 16S ribosomal RNA
Rfam family: Bacterial small subunit ribosomal RNA
Source: RNAcentral